This 196-nucleotide non-coding RNA is filed under the name Mus musculus (house mouse). Its description in RNAcentral is "Eukaryotic large subunit ribosomal RNA". It matches the Rfam family "Eukaryotic large subunit ribosomal RNA", at positions 967 to 1124 of the family's 3401-position model. The record is from Rfam by way of RNAcentral. Lineage: Eukaryota; Metazoa; Chordata; Mammalia; Rodentia; Muridae.
UUUCCCUCAGGAUAGCUGGCGCUCUCGCUCUUUUCCCGACGUACGCAGUUUUAUCCGGUAAAGCGAAUGAUUAGAGGUCUUGGGGCCGAAACGAUCUCAACCUAUUCUCAAACUUUAAAUGGGUAAGGUUUUGUAUACCUUCGUGCAGUACCAUUUAGGACAAAGUACAGUGUGCAGCUACUAAGAAAUAGUCCCA